This is a non-coding RNA of Acinonyx jubatus (cheetah), 73 nucleotides long. The record is from the annotation of a RefSeq genome assembly. NCBI's taxonomy places the organism in Eukaryota, Metazoa, Chordata, Mammalia, Carnivora, Felidae.
GCCCGGCUGGCUCAGUCGGUGGAGUGUGCAACUCUCGAUCUCAGGGUUGUGAGUUCAAGCCUCACGUUGGGCA